CCAUCUCUCUGAACACUCUAGGAUGUCAACGUCUUCCACAUGGCGACAAGUCACCGACUGACACAGUGCCUCUCUGUUUGUCACUAAGAAAGAGACGGCAGUGGGGAGACAGCCAAGCAAAGCAACAAUAGGAUGGCCUCUGUGACGGAAGAGCUAACACUGCAGUUUCAACCCGUGACCUUUACAUCCAGGGCUCUCCUGUAUUUUUAGCUUAAUGUUGUGAACUUUUUCCCAUUAAAACCCGAUUCUCCUUGUUUAUGUCACAAGUCUCAACAUGGCCUCUCAUCUGAAAUUAAGCUUUUCUCACACGAGGUCGAAGUGAUGCAGAACUGAGAUGAACCUGUGUCCCCUGUGGCUGGCCUUCAAAGCUGCAGGUCCCCACGCCCUACAGCUCUGUUCAGAGUGAAGGGAAGCAGCUUCUUUCCAUCUUCACACCCGGCUUCAGAAGCUCCGAGAGAUGCCUUCCUCAUCUCUUCACACCUAUUAUGUUGGAGGAGGAGUAGGUCAGUGGAAAUUAAUUAAAAGAGUUACUUAAGCAUAAAAGUAAAAUUUACCAAGCAAUUUCCCACUUCUCAGUGAAAACCUCAUCCUAGGCCAUGUCCCCUGAAAAAGUGGCUUUAUUUUGUGAUUUAACCGUAGGACAGUAGGGUGUUUCAUAGCUCAUCCAAUCUGCAUCCGUUUUCACACUGACUGAACAAAUGCAAUUAGCUUGCAGUGAGCCAAGUAAUGGUUUUCUUCAAGGACUGGGAACAUUUUCUUAGAGUCUCCUGUGUACAAACGUCUGUGGUGGCUUCUUCCACCCAGGCUCCUGAUGGUGUAACCGCAUGUCUUUGCCACUGGACCAACACAAAAGUGUUGUUGCAAGGAAACAAUCCUAUGGGACCGGAGAGCCAGUUGAGAUUAAGAGGCGAUGGGCCUCUCUGCCAUUCCUAGGUUGUGUCUUGACCUGGAAAAGAGAGGAAAUUAACACUGCUAAUGCUGGGCACUAUGUGCUGCCAAAGAACAGAGGAGCACUCCAGAACCUCAAGUCUACCGGGUCAGAGACUGCAUCUGACCUUAUCACCAUUGUAUCUACAGCAGGCGUGGGCAAGUCCUCAGAAUGUUUACCACGGAGCUGUUCCCAACAGCCAAGUCCCAGUGGCCUUCAUGGGAUGAGUGAGUAAAGGAAGUGUGGUGUGUAUACACAAUAGAGUGUUAUUCAACCUCAAAGAAAGAAAUCGUGUCAAUGGCAAGAAGCAUGAGCAUAAUUAGAAAUUAUCAAGAAAAGUGGAAAAAAAUCUAGAUACAGGGGAGCUGAAGAAAGAAAGAAAGAGAGAGAGAGAAGAAGAAGGAAGAAAGGAAGGAACGAAGGAACAAAGGAAGGAAAUUGAAGUCGACCUCUACAUCUGCCUCAUCACCAUUCAACAGACUGAGAAACCAAGAAGCACAAUCCAGAAGUGAAAUGGACUUAACACCCUGUGGCGACCUAUCAACAGAAAGAGUGGGAAGAAGCCAAACUAAGGGAUUCUGCUCUUCAAUGAACACACCAAGAAGCUGUUCUCCUCUGCACUUCACAGAGCUCUGACCUGCUGAGGAGAAUGCAACCUCCUGUGCUGUUGGAGACUCGUGAUCCUGUGGCCAGCUGAGGGCACUUGGCAUUGUUCACCCGGUCCCACACACAUAUCUCUCUCUCUCUCUCUCUCUCUCUCUCUCUCUCUCUCUCUCUCUCUCUCUCUCUCUCUCUCUCUUCCAGCUCUGGCCUUGCACCUGCAAAAGCCUUACCCUGUGGUCUUCUUCAGCAUAUAAAGCAUAUAAUUGAUCUUCUA
This is a long non-coding RNA of Peromyscus eremicus (cactus mouse), 1805 nucleotides long. RefSeq lists it as uncharacterized. The transcript has 2 exons. The record is from RefSeq and is a predicted model, not a curated record. NCBI's taxonomy places the organism in Eukaryota, Metazoa, Chordata, Mammalia, Rodentia, Cricetidae.